Molecule: ribosomal RNA, 107 nt
Filed under: Clostridia bacterium
Lineage: Bacteria; Bacillati; Bacillota; Clostridia
Source: RNAcentral
AUAGCGGGAAGGUCACACCUGUUCCCAUACCGAACACAGUAGUUAAGCUUCCCAGCGCUGAUGAUACUUGGCGGGUGACUGCCCGGGAAAGGAUGACGUCGCCGGAA